Molecule: long non-coding RNA, 914 nt
Organism: Coffea eugenioides
Lineage: Eukaryota; Viridiplantae; Streptophyta; Magnoliopsida; Gentianales; Rubiaceae
Exons: 3
Source: RefSeq, a predicted model, not a curated record
UCAACCCCCUUUAUUCAUUUCCCAAAACCUGAGCAACAGCAGAGGCGACAGUCGGCAGUCGCCGCCGUCAAAGAUGCAAAUCUUCAUGGAAAUCCUGAUGGGGAAGACCAUCAGCCUUGACGUGGAGUAUUCUGACACCAUCUACAAUGUCAAGGCCAAAAUCCAGGACAAGGAGGGGCAUCCCCCUGAAACCAAUAGCGCCUCAUCUUCGUCGGCAAGCAGCUGGAGGACGGCCGUACCCUAGCCGACUACAAUAGCCGAAAGGAGCCAAAAGGAGUCCACCAUCCACUUGUUCCUCCACUUCCAUGGUGACGCAACACCAAGCCCAAGAAAAAGAAGGUCACGCUUGCCGUCCUCUAGUUCGACAAGGUCGAUGACUCAGGCAUGGUCCAGAGGCUCAGGAAGGAGUGCCCUAUUGCUGAGUGUGGUGCUGGCACUAUUGCGGCAAGUAUGGCCUCACCUAUGUAUACCAGAAGGCUGGCGGUGAUUGAGGGAACUCUGGACUAAUUGUGCAUUCAACGCUGAAGGGGAUCGAUGUGCUCUCCACCAAUUCUCAGGUGUUUUUAGUCUUUUUGAGGAAAUCUUGAUAUUCAGGAUUAUGGUAUAAGCCGGAGAGAGCAUUUUCCUUGCCAAAGAUAUGUUGCUCAUUUUAGAUUUUUGGAAGAUCGGCAGCAAGAGUUGCUAAUUGACUCAAGAACUACAGAGAAAAUCUUAUCCUCAGGAAAUAUUCCACGAUAUAUUUUUUUGGGGACUUGGAUUUGUUUUGUAAAACUGUCUUGACUUAUAUGUAAAAUUUAUGCCAAAUACCACUUCUCAAACUAUUUGUAGGGUGUUGUUGAAUUUGAUUAUGAUUUUCGAAUGUUUAAAAUGAUAUUUUGGCAUUCCGUAAUGUAAUGGAUGCCUUCAUUUGUUAA